This 216-nucleotide long non-coding RNA is filed under the name Mytilus galloprovincialis (Mediterranean mussel). Lineage: Eukaryota; Metazoa; Mollusca; Bivalvia; Mytilida; Mytilidae. The record is from RNAcentral.
CGUCGUGUUGCUUAAGUGAUUACAAAUCCGGUAAAUAGUCUAAUUCGGUAGGUCAUAUUCAUGAAAGGGAAGGGGAUUUGUAGUUACGACGUAAGGAACAUAUCCGAUAUCAUUUGUGAAACGGUUAUUCCAUAACGGUCAACCAACUCGUGAUGGCGUCCGUAAAAUUUACGAAGGGAUGAUUUCAACUUCACCAUUUGGAACUCUUGGUUUAAU